CAUUUUAGUUUGCUUGCAAACUAAAGAUGGCGACCGGCGCACGGGUGAGUAACACGUAUCCAACCUGCCGAUAACUCGGGGAUAGCCUUUCGAAAGAAAGAUUAAUAUCCGAUAGUAUAUUAAAACCGCAUGGUUUUACUAUUAAAGAAUUUCGGUUAUCGAUGGGGAUGCGUUCCAUUAGUUUGUUGGCGGGGUAACGGCCCACCAAGACUACGAUGGAUAGGGGUUCUGAGAGGAAGGUCCCCCACAUUGGAACUGAGACACGGUCCAAACUCCUACGGGAGGCAGCAGUGAGGAAUAUCGGUCAAUGGGCGAGAGCCUGAACCAGCCAAGUAGCGUGAAGGAUGACUGCCCUAUGGGUUGUAAACUUCUUUUAUAAAGGAAUAAAGUCGGGUAUGCAUACCCGUUUGCAUGUACUUUAUGAAUAAGGAUCGGCUAACUCCGUGCCAGCAGCCGCGGUAAUACGGAGGAUCCGAGCGUUAUCCGGAUUUAUUGGGUUUAAAGGGAGCGUAGAUGGAUGUUUAAGUCAGUUGUGAAAGUUUGCGGCUCAACCAUAAAAUUGCAGUUGAUACUGGAUAUCUUGAGUGCAGUUGAGGCAGGCGGAAUUCGUGGUGUAGCGGUGAAAUGCUUAGAUAUCACGAAGAACUCCGAUUGCGAAGGCAGCCUGCUAAGCUGCAACUGACAUUGAGGCUCGAA
RNAcentral lists this ribosomal RNA (696 nucleotides) under uncultured Bacteroidales bacterium. Its description in RNAcentral is "bacterial SSU rRNA". It matches the Rfam family "Bacterial small subunit ribosomal RNA", at positions 67 to 757 of the family's 1533-position model. The record is from RNAcentral. Lineage: Bacteria; Pseudomonadati; Bacteroidota; Bacteroidia; Bacteroidales.